GCGGGAUUAGUUUAAUGGCAGAACGUGUGCUUCCCAAGCACAGGGCGGGAGUUCGAUUCUCCCAUCCCGCA
RNAcentral lists this transfer RNA (71 nucleotides) under Candidatus Liptonbacteria bacterium. RNAcentral's name for it is "tRNA-Gly". It matches the Rfam family "tRNA". Rfam says of the family: Transfer RNA (tRNA) molecules are approximately 80 nucleotides in length. Their secondary structure includes four short double-helical elements and three loops (D, anti-codon, and T loops). Further hydrogen bonds mediate the characteristic L-shaped molecular structure. tRNAs have two regions of fundamental functional importance: the anti-codon, which is responsible for specific mRNA codon recognition, and the 3' end, to which the tRNAs corresponding amino acid is attached (by aminoacyl-tRNA synthetases). tRNAs cope with the degeneracy of the genetic code in two manners: having more than one tRNA (with a specific anti-codon) for a particular amino acid; and 'wobble' base-pairing, i.e. permitting non-standard base-pairing at the 3rd anti-codon position. The record is from RNAcentral. Lineage: Bacteria; Candidatus Liptoniibacteriota.